This 222-nucleotide ribosomal RNA is filed under the name Triticum aestivum (bread wheat). RNAcentral's name for it is "partial small subunit ribosomal RNA". Lineage: Eukaryota; Viridiplantae; Streptophyta; Magnoliopsida; Poales; Poaceae. The record is from RNAcentral.
AUGGUUGCAGGUCCUGACAGGCAUGAUGGCUUCAAAGAUGUCCGCGAUGACUACAACUACACGGAGCCUUCUCUUGCAGCAAAUGCUGGUCUGGUUGCAGCACUGAUUUCCCAACCUGAUGUUGGCACUGCAGGCAAAAGUAGUUGAGUUGAUAAGAACACAAUCUUCUCAGCAAUUCCCCCCAGACAGAAAGGAGACAACGUAAGCUUACAUAGCUUCUAA